Molecule: long non-coding RNA, 1117 nt
Organism: Astatotilapia calliptera (eastern happy)
Lineage: Eukaryota; Metazoa; Chordata; Actinopteri; Cichliformes; Cichlidae
Source: Ensembl
ACAUCCAAGAUCAAAUGACACAUCCAAGAUCAAAUCAUCGCGCUAACUCUGAGCUCGCUAUUCCGGUUCCCCGAACACACCUGUUGUUGACGAUUAGUAUAGCUGGAUGAAGUAAUGUGAGAUCACUGGGUGGCCCAACAGGGGCUACGCAUCGAUAGUAGAAACAUUGAUCGGCAACCCUUUGAUUGGUCGGCGAAAAUGUCGAAGGAGCGCGCUCAGCUCGGGCUGGCAGAAAGUUGCUGACAAAUUAAACUCGUAAGUAAUUUAAUAAUAACAAUAAUAAUGGAGUGGAUCUAUAUAGCGCUCUUCAAGGCACCCAAAGCGUUUUACAAUGCCACUAUUCAGUCACUCUCACAUUCACACACUGGUAGCUGUCACAGCUGCCCUGGGGCAGACUGACAGAAGCCAGGCUGCCAUAUCGCGCCAUCGGCCCCUCUGGCCAACACCAGUAGGCGGUAGGGUAGAUUUAUCAUAUCACACUAUAUUAUCCAAUAUUAUAUUACAUUAUAUUAUAUUACAUUAUGUUAUAUUAUAUCCCCUUUCACAUUAGAGCCACAACAGGACCCACUAGAACAUGGGAACAAGUAAAAGUGAAAUAUAAGAAUAUUCUACAGAAUGGUAAUAUUGAUCACUUAUAUUGCUUUUCGUCUCUUGGACAGAGACCCUGAAAUAAUCUGUUUGUUUGUUUAUAACAGCAACCAAGAAAAGGGGCAGCGCAAAAAAAGACAGGUGGUGGUCCUGCACCCCCUCGUCAACAAGUUGGUUAAGUAAAUAAUACCCUCACGGGAAAAUCGAUAUCUCUCUAUGAGCACACUGUCGCGCUGAGCUAAAGGAUCCUGUCUAUCCCGCAAUAUACGCUGGAUUCUGAGGACUCUCCUUAUCAAUCUUGCACCUUCCGCAAUGGGUGGCUCGCGUAUACGGACAGGACAUGGCUGCGACAGGCUUCCCAAAUCCACCUUCGCUUUUAUAGCCGUGGUCUCCCAUCUUGAUUACACGAAGUAAAUUGCAAUUACUACUCUGAAAUCUGAAUUACAUCUGUAAUAAUCACAUACAUGUAAUAGAAUGUUAAUAGUACAUUUCCCUUUUUUAGGAAAUGACCUGUAUGUAUCUGUGUGAC